UACGUAGGGCGCAAGCGUUGUCCGGAAUUAUUGGGCGUAAAGAGCUCGUAGGCGGUUUGUCGCGUCUGCUGUGAAAACCUAAGGCUCAACCUUGGGCUUGCAGUGGGUACGGGCAGACUAGAGUGCGGUAGGGGUGACUGGAAUUCCUGGUGUAGCGGUGGAAUGCGCAGAUAUCAGGAGGAACACCGAUGGCGAAGGCAGGUCACUGGGCCGCAACUGACGCUGAGAAGCGAAAGCAUGGGGAGCGAACAGG
This 253-nucleotide ribosomal RNA is filed under the name uncultured bacterium. RNAcentral describes it as "partial 16S ribosomal RNA". It matches the Rfam family "Bacterial small subunit ribosomal RNA", at positions 524 to 776 of the family's 1533-position model. The record is from RNAcentral.